GGAGACCAUGCCCUGCUGCCAAACUGCCUCCACCAGAUUGCCGAAGCCCUGGUGCUGGAAGGCGACUACACGAAGGCGCUCCGCUUCCUCCAGCUCCAGAGACUCUACCACGAGAGAGUGUUGUCCAAUCUUGCCGCCCUGCAGGAGCAAUGGGAGAACAGAUGGAGGUUGGUAGGUCAGCAUCAGGACUCCAGCAGUGUAUCUACUCCUCCUCCUCCCUGUGACAUGGACACAGAGCACCUGCAGAAGCUGAGGCACAUCUGCAGGACUCACAGGCAGUGAGUACACACACACCGACACACACAUACACACAGCUUUGCUCAGUGCUGCAGCUUUAGCACUCAUGGAG
Molecule: long non-coding RNA, 349 nt
Organism: Electrophorus electricus (electric eel)
Lineage: Eukaryota; Metazoa; Chordata; Actinopteri; Gymnotiformes; Gymnotidae
Source: Ensembl